Molecule: ribosomal RNA, 720 nt
Filed under: Salmonella enterica
Lineage: Bacteria; Pseudomonadati; Pseudomonadota; Gammaproteobacteria; Enterobacterales; Enterobacteriaceae
Also listed under: 2 other names
Description: partial 23S ribosomal RNA
Rfam family: Bacterial large subunit ribosomal RNA
Source: RNAcentral
GAAAGACCCCGUGAACCUUUACUAUAGCUUGACACUGAACAUUGAGCCUUGAUGUGUAGGAUAGGUGGGAGGCUUUGAAGUGUGGACGCCAGUCUGCAUGGAGCCGACCUUGAAAUACCACCCUUUAAUGUUUGAUGUUCUAACGUGGACCCGUAAUCCGGGUUGCGGACAGUGUCUGGUGGGUAGUUUGACUGGGGCGGUCUCCUCCUAAAGAGUAACGGAGGAGCACGAAGGUUGGCUAAUCCUGGUCGGACAUCAGGAGGUUAGUGCAAUGGCAUAAGCCAGCUUGACUGCGAGCGUGACGGCGCGAGCAGGUGCGAAAGCAGGUCAUAGUGAUCCGGUGGUUCUGAAUGGAAGGGCCAUCGCUCAACGGAUAAAAGGUACUCCGGGGAUAACAGGCUGAUACCGCCCAAGAGUUCAUAUCGACGGCGGUGUUUGGCACCUCGAUGUCGGCUCAUCACAUCCUGGGGCUGAAGUAGGUCCCAAGGGUAUGGCUGUUCGCCAUUUAAAGUGGUACGCGAGCUGGGUUUAGAACGUCGUGAGACAGUUCGGUCCCUAUCUGCCGUGGGCGCUGGAGAACUGAGGGGGGCUGCUCCUAGUACGAGAGGACCGGAGUGGACGCAUCACUGGUGUUCGGGUUGUCAUGCCAAUGGCACUGCCCGGUAGCUAAAUGCGGAAGAGAUAAGUGCUGAAAGCAUCUAAGCACGAAACUUGCCCCGA